Molecule: ribosomal RNA, 274 nt
Filed under: uncultured bacterium
Lineage: Bacteria
Description: partial 16S ribosomal RNA
Rfam family: Bacterial small subunit ribosomal RNA
Source: RNAcentral
AUACGUAGGUCCCGAACGUUGCGCGAAAUUACUGGGCGUAAAGGGUCCGUAGGCGGUCUGGUAAGUGGAAGGUGAAAGCCUGGGGCUCAACCCCAGAAUUGCCUUCCAAACUGCCGGACUUGAGGCAGGGAGAGGUCGGCGGAAUUCCCGGUGUAGUGGUGAAAUGCGUAGAUAUCGGGAGGAACACCAGUGGCGAAGGCGGCCGACUGGAACUGUGCUGACGCUGAGGGACGAAAGCCAGGGGAGCGAACCGGAUUAGAUACCCUAGUAGUCC